Meleagris gallopavo (turkey) is the source of this 1701-nucleotide non-coding RNA. The record is from RefSeq and is a predicted model, not a curated record. NCBI's taxonomy places the organism in Eukaryota, Metazoa, Chordata, Aves, Galliformes, Phasianidae.
GAUCUGCUCCAUCAGGAAUUCAUCUCGUGAGCCCAGGACAGGGUGUUCCUGAACCUGGAGAGGUCCACUUCAGCUGUGAUGAAUCCUAAAUGGUUCAACCAAGAACUGGUCAAAAACAGCACUUCUUAAGAGCAGAAUUUGCAAUGAGCUUUUCAAGUGGGUUAGCCCAAGCAGCUGUUGAGUUUAGAGCAGACUCAAGCAAGGAACAAGAAGACAAAACAUGACUGGCAGACCUUGGAAGAAACUCCUGAGAUGUAAACUUACCUUAUGUUCAGAUUCUUUUUCUAUACAAGCUUAUGCAAGGUUGCUGUUCUGUAAGCUGUCUCUCUCAUUUGUAAAGAACAAUACCUGCCUGCCUCAGAUUACUUAUACUGAGGAUUUGUUACAAACACUGUUGCAGCAAUACUAAAAAAUUUGUAAUUUUCUUAAAGAAAGAAGAAACUUCUGGUGUGCAGAGGGAGGAAACAACACAUGCUGGACAAAUCACUUAGUUAGAAGAGCUGAUAAACUUCCGGUCUUUCUGAUGGUCUGUUUUCACCAAUCUUGCAUUUAUUUCUUUUUCCAAAAGAUAGAACUUUUAAGAAUAAAAUGAGGAAUUAUAAUUCUUGAAGAAGCUGGUUAGCUGUACAACAAAUAAUGGACACUGUGGAGAUUUUAACAUGUGGCUGGCUUACAUUCACAUUGUAGAAAUCUUGCUUUGAGUCAAAGGUUGGGUUAAAGAACCUGAGCAAAUUCUAAUAAGGGAAACUGACCACCAAUUAUAGUGGAAAAGGAGAACAUUUUCAUUAAUUUCAUUAAUUUCAUUUUCAUUCAUUGUCUCUAACAAGAAAAGAAUGCUGUCAAGGAGGAAUUUGCUUUGUGGAAAUUAUUUGGCGUCUAAUCGAGAAACAAUAAAACAACUUAGGGAGUCUAUCAGAUGCUAUUCUUUGGCAUAGGUUCCAAUUACUGUCUAGACUUAUAUUUUUGUUCCUAGAUGGAAAGUACCAGGUGUAACUCAAGUUGUUUGGGGAUUUUUUUUUUACUUUGCAUUUGCUACAAAUAUUGCUGCAUAGUCUGGAAAAAGUCUCUUCACAUUCUUUGAAUAGUGACUUGAGCUGGUCAAAUUAGAUGCUUGAAAUGUUCUUGUGUAACCACUCAUAGAAAAUUGUCAAAGCAUUUUAAUGAAAGUUUGAAUGAGAUUCAUUAAGUGUAUUUAAGAAUUUUGGAAUGAUACUACUGCCUGCCAAAUUUUUGUGGUCACCUAGAUACUAGAUGGUAAAGACUCUUCUUACGUGCAGUGCAGCCAUAAAAAAAGUGAUUCUAUGAUAGUUUUCUAUGCACAUCUGUUAAAUUCUGCUUUAUUUUCAAGCGGAAUAUAUGAUGAUAACAUUGAAAGCAUUUUUAAAAUAAUCAAAUGAUUUGUUUCCAAAAAAUUCAAAUGAUAUUUUAAAGUUAUUGGAUACGUUAUGCAUACGUAACAUCCAAGUAACACUCCUGAAACAAAUGUCUAACUUUUAAAAGGAUAGACUGAAGAAUCCACUGGGCUUACAUAUGAUCUGGUCUAUAGUGUCUUUAUAUGUAAUAAAAACAAUUAAAAUUAGCUCUUGGUUUUGAGCAAACAAAUUCAGUGCUUCAUAUUUGCAUUCACAGUAAGCCAUUGAUUGUUUUUCUUGCUAUCAUUGCUGCUUUCUUCCCUUCUUCCAUGUAAACUGAAAAUAAUGU